This 4621-nucleotide long non-coding RNA is filed under the name Homo sapiens (human). Its description in RNAcentral is "HSALNT0350549". The record is from RNAcentral. Lineage: Eukaryota; Metazoa; Chordata; Mammalia; Primates; Hominidae.
UUGGUGGGCAUUUGGGCUAGUUCCAUAUUUUUGCAAUUGCGAAUUGUGCUGCUAUAAAUAUGCAUGUGCAAGUGACUUUUUCAUAUCAUGACUGAUUUUCCUCUUGGUAGAUACCCCAGGAAUUUUGCAUCUAUGUUUCUGAUGGAGAUUGAUCCAUAAUUUUAUUUUCCUGUAAGAUCUUUGUCAACUAUAGGUUCAUGCUGGUCUCCUAAAAUGAGUUUGGAAGGGUUCUCUCCUCUUCUAUUCUUCUGAAAGGGUUUCUGUAAAUUCUAUUAUGCCAUACUUAAGAGUUUGUUAGAAUUAACUAGUGAAAGCAAUUGAGUCUAGAGAUCUCGUCUUUCUGGGAGAUUUCUUCUUUCUGGGAGAUUUUUGACUACAAACCAAUUUCCUGUAUAGACUUAAGACUCCUCAGAUUUUACUCCUCCUUGUGUUGGUUUCAUAAAGUUAUCUUUAAGAAAUUUGCAUAUUUUAAACUAGUUAUUCAUAAUAUCCUUGUGAUGUAUGUAAGAUUUGUAUCUCACUUCAUUCCUGAUACUGGAAUGAAAUUCGUGCAUGUGUGUGUUUUUCUUGAUCAGUCUUGAUAGGGGUUAUCAAUUAGAGAACGAACUUUUGGCUUUGCUGAUUGUUUUCCCUUUCAUUGAGUUUUGGUCUUUAUUAUUACCUUCCUUUACUUAUUUUAUUUAAACAUGCUUUUAUUUUUCUAUGUUCUUAUGAUUAAAAUUUAGAUAGCUGAUUUGAAACCUUUCUGCUAAUAGAGGCAUUUAAAGUUAUAAUUGUUCUUAGCUACAUCUCAUACAUUUUGGUUUUUAAUUUUCUUUAAAAAUGAAGAGAUAGCAUCUCCCUAUGGCUGGUCUCGAACUCCUGGGCUCAAGGGAUCCUCCUGCCUUGGCCUCCCAAAGUGCUAGGAUUAUAGGCAUGCACCACCAUGCGUGGCCUGCAUCCCAUACAUUCGGAUACAUUGUGUUUUCACUAUCAUUCAGUUCAAAAUAUUUUCUAAUUUCCUUUGUGUUUCUUUUUUGACUGAUUGGGUUAUUUUGAAGUAUGUUGUUUAAUUUCCCAACAUAAUUUUGAGAUUGUUAGGCGUAUUACCACUGUUGAUAUGCCAUUCCAUGUCUGUGUGGUCAGAGAACACAGUCUGUAAUAUUUAAAUCUUGAAAUUUAUUUUAUAGCCCAGCAUGUGAUCCAGCUUGAUGAACAUUCCAUGUGCACGUGACAAGAAUGGAUAUUCUGCUGUUGUUGGCUGUAGUGUUCUAUGUCAGCCAUCCCUGUGGGGGUGUCAGUGAUGCUUGGACUCCACUAACUGCACCAUUGUCCUACUCCAUCUCCUUUGAGCCUGCUGUCAACCUCUGCACACAUGGCCUCAGCCCCUAGCCCUGGAUGACCACCAUUAGACCCAGCAGAACGGCAGCAGUGGUUUGCUGGCCCAGCACCUAGAGCUGCAGAAUAUGCUCCCUUGACCCUCAGGGAAAGAUGCAGAGCUAGUGAGACUUACUCUCCUCCACCACCAAAGUGAAGGUGAGUUUACCCUCUCCCUCAUCCCAGGAUCCUCCCUGAAUGGGCCGGGAGCUGCUGCUGACACAUCUCAGGACCGCCAGCUUCAGCCCCGCUCCCAGUGCCUUGUUAACGGUGAGAGCACUAGCGGAAAGAAAGGCGGCACGUCAGGGCAAAAGCAGCUUCUGAGGGCGUCUCCAAGCCCAGCCCUGCCUCCUUGGCAGUGAGGUAUGCCCGCAACCUCCACUUUGCUCUUAGUACUGGGGCCAAAGUAUCCUGGGUGUAAAAUGGGGAUGAUCCUUUCCAUGCCACGGGGUCCUGAGGAUCAUACACAACAGUGCCCCUAAAGCGCCUGGCACAGCACCUGACCGGAGCACACGGGCAACACACAGGCAACAAACAGGAGCUGGAAGAGUUUCCUGUGGCUGCCAGAACAAACACCACAAACCAGAUGUGGCGGUGGGGGGUCAUGCACCCGACAUUUAUUUUCUCACCGUUCUGGAGGCCAGAAGUCUGAGAUCCAGGUGCCGGCAGGGCCACACCCCCUCUGAGGGCUCGGGGUAAGAAGCGUCCUGGCCUCUUCCAGCUCCCUGUGGCUCCAGGAUCCUGGGCUUGUGGCUGCGUCGCUCCUGCCUCUGCCUCUGUCUUCACGUGGCCUGUCCCCAUGUAUCUUUUCCUCUCCUCCUCAGGACAUUUGUCAUUGGAUUUAGGGCCCACCCAGAAUCCAGGAGGGGCUCAUCUUCAGAUCCUUAAUGACAUCUACAAAGACCCUUUAUCUAAAUAGGUCAGAUUCACAGGUCCCGGCGGUUAGGACAUGGACAUACGUUUUUGAGGGCGCCAUUCAACCCGCAACGGGAGCCAUCACAUUCUCAUUUCUCCUUCCUUAAUGUUCUCACGGGCCCAGCACACAGGCCAGGAUGGAGCAUUCUUUGAGGUGUUCCUGGGAGCCCAGCAACAGACUGGGUGUUCAGUGUGCCCCUGUCGGUCUCCACGUGGGCCCUGCAAGAAGGAGCCACCCCCGUUUUACGGGGGGUUCAGGGCUUGUGGCCAGAUGUGCAGCUAGGCCUGGAUCAGGCUCCCGUCCGGCCCCAGUGCGUCUGCCGUGCCCGUGACCCCAGGCUGUGUCUCUCAGAAUCCGCCAAGAUUCCAGGGCAGGUAACUGCAGAGCUCCCCCGAGUCCUGUGCACGCCUCGGCUCACACUGCAGCUCAGCAGCAGCAACGCGGGUGACAGAAACCAGCUCUGUGUCUGUGAGCCUCUGCCUCACCUUCUGGGGGAUGGCACAGUAUUGCUCCAAGACAUGCAAACAGCUGCGGGCAGCAGAGACAGUGAGGCAACCCUGCCACACUCUCCAACCAUGCCCUCCUCAGGCAUGCGGAGAAAGCACCCCUUCAUCUGUGCAAGGAAUCCUCAAGCAGCAGACAAAAUUCAUGCACUGUUAAUUCAGAUGUUACAGUCACAUCCAGUGCUAAGGGCUGUCCUUUGAAAACAGCUGAGGUAGACACAUCUUCCAAGAACAAAUCAUAGAAAUGUUACCAGGCGAUUGUCUUCACAACCUCUGCAUCAGUGAUGGGGACUUGGGGGUAAGCUUUUGGUUGGCGUUGUGAACAGUGCCAGCUCCCUAAAGCAAGCUUGCUUUUCUGUUGUUUGAAAUACUGCAGGAGAACUGAAAUUCUCUUAAAAUAUACCGGUUUCUGGUUCAAGAGAAAUACUUUUUUGCACCAAUUUAAUUCAGGUUUCUAAAGCCGAGGCAGGGAUGGCAUCACAGUCUGUUGAAUGAAUUCCAGCUCAUUUGGGGCCUUUCCAUGACAAAUCAUUCCUAAUGGAAUCUCUCCAAAGCACAGGGGAAAAAAUCGAAGGCAUCAAAGUGCCCUUUCCAUUUCAAUAAACUCCACUGGCCAGGAUUCUGUUUGCAUAACACAGAAUAAACAUGGAACCCAGGCCUGCCCAGCACAUUUACUCCCUGGUUAGCACCUCUGUUCACCUGUUUUCUCUUUUAUAUGAGUGACCAUUUCCUAAAACGCAAUCAAUCAAUCACUGUCAAGUAAGAUCUUGAAAUUAUCACCAUGGAGAAAAGACAUGAAGAGUCUGCAUUAAGGUAACGUGACCGGUGCCUAGAGUGAGGAAGGAGCACGUUCAGAAUGGUCCCGGGUCAUUUUCAAGACCUUCCCCCCGUCACUGUUGGAUGAAGUAAGGAGCCGGACAUCAGUGUUUAUUAAACCAGAUUUAUUCUCCACAAGCUGAAGAUACCUGAGGUUACAUGAGGACUGGCAUUAAAUAAUUUAUAAAUGUAUUUUUGACUGACAGACUUUUAUCAUAAGGAUUCAUGUGUUUACAAAAGCAAAAUCCAACCUCUCCAGAGCUAGAAAGUGGGAAGGUGCCCGGGCUGCAAGCACAGCCUUGGGGGAGGAUGAGGCCACAUAAUUCUCUCUGCCCACACUCUCAGAAUGCCCCAAGAAGUUAGUAGCUACACAAAGCCAAGCCUUGGGGGAAAACCUGGUCCGUGGUGUGGACUCUCCAAAAUGCAGACCCAACCGGAGGCCGGGCCCGCCUUUCCAUCUGGAGGCACUGCAGGGCUUCUGAAAGCGGCCCAUCCCAGGAGCCUGGCAAACACCCCCAGAGACCCUCAGGAUGCGCCAGCCCCGGGGCUUUGUCCUGAGAAGCUGGAGCUCCGUGGCCCAGCUUGUGGAUGGGUGCCCAGGGGGCAGGCCCCAUGCCCUCAGCACGUGCUGACACGCUCCCUCCGGCUCCAACAACCACACCAGAACCUUCCGUAGAACAUUUAAGUAAUGAAGUCUCAACAUUACAGUAAAAAGGUGCAAAGGGUCUCUUUUACAAAUAUUUAUGUACAGCCAAGAUCUUGUUGAGUUCAGUAUAGCAUGCUGCGCGUACACAUACGCAGUGUGCACACGGAUUCAGGGAACUGAGCGGCACACUGAAGACGAGAUCACACGUGUGCACACGGAUUCGGGGAACUGAGCGGCACGCUGGAAGACGAGAUCACACAUGAUGCUAUUUUACUUUUGAUCCCAUGUGCUUUCCUGGGCAUGAUAUUUUAGAUGGAACUUUUUCUGGUCUGUGAUCUUUGGUAGAAAAAAGGUCUCUAGGAUUAUUAUAAAAAUGUUGCAUCU